Small nucleolar RNA from Cyprinodon variegatus (sheepshead minnow), 133 nucleotides. Lineage: Eukaryota; Metazoa; Chordata; Actinopteri; Cyprinodontiformes; Cyprinodontidae. The record is from Ensembl.
UCUGAGGUCUAUCCCGAUGGACCCCUCACAGUGGGGCCUUGUCGUUGGAAAUGCCUCAAAGAGCAAAUCUGUAGCUAUGCUUUACCCAAGUGUUCUCUGCUGUGAGCAUUAUGGGAUACAGCUGCAAACACCU